GGAACUGUGCCUGAAACAAAGGACCACUUUGAUGAGGUGAAUCUAGAGGGUUAAAUUCCCUCCAGCUCCU
RNAcentral lists this transfer RNA (70 nucleotides) under Takifugu fasciatus (obscure pufferfish). RNAcentral's name for it is "tRNA-Ile". It matches the Rfam family "tRNA". From Rfam's summary of the family: Transfer RNA (tRNA) molecules are approximately 80 nucleotides in length. Their secondary structure includes four short double-helical elements and three loops (D, anti-codon, and T loops). Lineage: Eukaryota; Metazoa; Chordata; Actinopteri; Tetraodontiformes; Tetraodontidae. The record is from RNAcentral.